RNAcentral lists this ribosomal RNA (407 nucleotides) under uncultured bacterium. RNAcentral describes it as "partial 16S ribosomal RNA". It matches the Rfam family "Bacterial small subunit ribosomal RNA", at positions 30 to 526 of the family's 1533-position model. The record is from RNAcentral.
AUUGAACGCUGGCGGCAGGCCUAACACAUGCAAGUCGAGCGGAGCGGCGGACGGGUGAGUAAUGCCUAGGAAUCUGCCUGGCAUUCGUGGCUAACGUCCGGAAACGGGCGCUAAUACCGCAUACAAUCAGAUGAGCCUAGGUCGGAUUAGCUAGUUGGUGGGGUAAAGGCCUACCAAGGCGACGAUCCGUAACUGGUCUGAGAGGAUGAUCAGUCACACUGGAACUGAGACACGGUCCAGACUCCUACGGGAGGCAGCAGUGGGGAAUAUUUGACAAUGGGCGAAAGCCUGACCGAGCCAUGCCGCGUGUGUGAAGAAGGUCUUCGGAUUGUAAAGCUCUUUAAGUUGGGAGGCGUUAUCAACCCAAUAAGCAACGGCUAACUUCGUGCCAGCAGCCGCGGUAAUAC